Long non-coding RNA from Malaclemys terrapin pileata, 485 nucleotides. RefSeq lists it as uncharacterized. Lineage: Eukaryota; Metazoa; Chordata; Testudines; Emydidae. The record is from RefSeq and is a predicted model, not a curated record. The transcript is spliced from 3 exons.
UACUAAGGAAUAUGGAUUCAAUUUUCCAGCCAUCAUUAAGUCGACCAGCUUCUUUUUCUCUCUGAGGAGAAUGGUCCUAUGCCUGGGGCGUUAGCCCAGGGCUUGGGAGACCAGACGGCUCCACUACUGACACAAAAGGUGCUGGCUUCAGCCACUGAUUGCAGGUUUGAACACAAACAACGGGCCCCCACUGUGAGAAAUAUUCUGCAGCCACUGCCCGUUGCACAGCAGAGCUACACAGCCCCAGAAGCGGCGCUCUGAGGCUCAGGUGGAACAGCUCCAACAGCAGAGACUGACCUCCUGUGUGACAGAGGCCAGAGGACUUCCCUGUAGCAGUUAUGAGAUGCACCAGGGGCUGCUGCCCACGUGGAAGGCACUGGGACCCAGGAGCAGAGUGGACAUGUCCAGGAAGGAGACAGGCCAUGGGAAAGACAGUGGUUUGGGAUUUGGGCUGCCUGGGAUCACUGCUCUGCUCUGCUACAGAG